GAUGAACGCUGGCGGCGUGCCUAAUACAUGCAAGUCGAGCGAACGGACGAGAAGCUUGCUUCUCUGAUGUUAGCGGCGAACGGGUGAGUAACACGUGGAUAACCUACCUAUAAGACUGGGAUAACUUCGGGAAACCGGAGCUAAUACCGGAUAAUAUUUUGAACCGCAUGGUUCAAAAGUGAAAGACGGUCUUGCUGUCACUUAUAGAUGGAUCCGCGCUGCAUUAGCUAGUUGGUAAGGUAACGGCUUACCAAGGCGACGAUGCAUAGCCGACCUGAGAGGGUGAUCGGCCACACUGGAACUGAGACACGGUCCAGACUCCUACGGGAGGCAGCAGUAGGGAAUCUUCCGCAAUGGGCGAAAGCCUGACGGAGCAACGCCGCGUGAGUGAUGAAGGUCUUCGGAUCGUAAAACUCUGUUAUUAGGGAAGAACAUAUGUGUAAGUAACUGUGCACAUCUUGACGGUACCUAAUCGGAAAGCCACGGCUAACUACGUGCCAGCAGCCGCGGUAAUACGUAGGUGGCAAGCGUUAUCCGGAAUUAUUGGGCGUAAAGCGCGCGUAGGCGGUUUUUUAAGUCUGAUGUGAAAGCCCACGGCUCAACCGUGGGAGGGUCAUUGGAAACUGGAAAACUUGAGUGCAGAAGAGGAACGUGGAAUUCCAUGUGUAGCGGUGAAAUGCGCAGAGAUAUGGAGGAACACCGGUGGCGAAGGCGACUUUCUGGUCUGUAACUGACGCUGAUGUGCGAAAGCGUGGGGAUCAAACAGGAUUAGAUACCCUGGUAGUCCACGCCGUAAACGAUGAGUGCUAAGUGUUAGGGGGUUUCCGCCCCUUAGUGCUGCAGCUAACGCAUUAAGCACUCCGCCUGGGGAGUACGACCGCAAGGUUGAAACUCAAAGGAAUUGACGGGGACCCGCACAAGCGGUGGAGCAUGUGGUUUAAUUCGAAGCAACGCGAAGAACCUUACCAAAUCUUGACAUCCUUUGACAACUCUAGAGAUAGAGCUUUCCCCUUCGGGGGACAAAGUGACAGGUGGUGCAUGGUUGUCGUCAGCUCGUGUCGUGAGAUGUUGGGUUAAGUCCCGCAACGAGCGCAACCCUUAAGCUUAGUUGCCAUCAUUAAGUUGGGCACUCUAAGUUGACUGCCGGUGACAAACCGGAGGAAGGUGGGGAUGACGUCAAAUCAUCAUGCCCCUUAUGAUUUGGGCUACACACGUGCUACAAUGGACAAUACAAAGGGCAGCGAAACCGCGAGGUCAAGCAAAUCCCAUAAAGUUGUUCUCAGUUCGGAUUGUAGUCUGCAACUCGACUACAUGAAGCUGGAAUCGCUAGUAAUCGUAGAUCAGCAUGCUACGGUGAAUACGUUCCCGGGUCU
Molecule: ribosomal RNA, 1373 nt
Filed under: uncultured bacterium
Lineage: Bacteria
Description: bacterial SSU rRNA
Rfam family: Bacterial small subunit ribosomal RNA
Source: RNAcentral